RNAcentral lists this non-coding RNA (25 nucleotides) under Rattus norvegicus (Norway rat). Lineage: Eukaryota; Metazoa; Chordata; Mammalia; Rodentia; Muridae. The record is from RNAcentral.
UAACAUCCCUGCUGCCAAUACUGAC